GGGUUGUGAGGUUAAGCGACUAAGCGUACACGGUGGAUGCCCUGGCAGUCAGAGGCGAUGAAGGACGUGCUAAUCUGCGAUAAGCGUCGGUAAGGUGAUAUGAACCGUUAUAACCGGCGAUUUCCGAAUGGGGAAACCCAGUGUGUUUCGACACACUAUCAUUAACUGAAUCCAUAGGUUAAUGAGGCGAACCGGGGGAACUGAAACAUCUAAGUACCCCGAGGAAAAGAAAUCAACCGAGAUUCCCCCAGUAGCGGCGAGCGAACGGGGAGCAGCCCAGAGCCUGAAUCAGUGUGUGUGUUAGUGGAAGCGUCUGGAAAGGCGCGCGAUACAGGGUGACAGCCCCGUACACAAAAAUGCACAUACUGUGAGCUCGAUGAGUAGGGCGGGACACGUGGUAUCCUGUCUGAAUAUGGGGGGACCAUCCUCCAAGGCUAAAUACUCCUGACUGACCGAUAGUGAACCAGUACCGUGAGGGAAAGGCGAAAAGAACCCCGGCGAGGGGAGUGAAAAAGAACCUGAAACCGUGUACGUACAAGCAGUGGGAGCCUCUUAAUGGGGUGACUGCGUACCUUUUGUAUAAUGGGUCAGCGACUUAUAUUCUGUAGCAAGGUUAACCGAAUAGGGGAGCCGAAGGGAAACCGAGUCUUAACUGGGCGUUAAGUUGCAGGGUAUAGACCCGAAACCCGGUGAUCUAGCCAUGGGCAGGUUGAAGGUUGGGUAACACUAACUGGAGGACCGAACCGACUAAUGUUGAAAAAUUAGCGGAUGACUUGUGGCUGGGGGUGAAAGGCCAAUCAAACCGGGAGAUAGCUGGUUCUCCCCGAAAGCUAUUUAGGUAGCGCCUCGUGAAUUCAUCUCCGGGGGUAGAGCACUGUUUCGGCAAGGGGGUCAUCCCGACUUACCAACCCGAUGCAAACUGCGAAUACCGGAGAAUGUUAUCACGGGAGACACACGGCGGGUGCUAACGUCCGUCGUGAAGAGGGAAACAACCCAGACCGCCAGCUAAGGUCCCAAAGUCAUGGUUAAGUGGGAAACGAUGUGGGAAGGCCCAGACAGCCAGGAUGUUGGCUUAGAAGCAGCCAUCAUUUAAAGAAAGCGUAAUAGCUCACUGGUCGAGUCGGCCUGCGCGGAAGAUGUAACGGGGCUAAACCAUGCACCGAAGCUGCGGCAGCGACGUUUAUGCGUUGUUGGGUAGGGGAGCGUUCUGUAAGCCUGCGAAGGUGUACUGUGAGGUAUGCUGGAGGUAUCAGAAGUGCGAAUGCUGACAUAAGUAACGAUAAAGCGGGUGAAAAGCCCGCUCGCCGGAAGACCAAGGGUUCCUGUCCAACGUUAAUCGGGGCAGGGUGAGUCGACCCCUAAGGCGAGGCCGAAAGGCGUAGUCGAUGGGAAACAGGUUAAUAUUCCUGUACUUGGUGUUACUGCGAAGGGGGGACGGAGAAGGCUAUGUUGGCCGGGCGACGGUUGUCCCGGUUUAAGCGUGUAGGCUGGUUUUCCAGGCAAAUCCGGAAAAUCAAGGCUGAGGCGUGAUGACGAGGCACUACGGUGCUGAAGCAACAAAUGCCCUGCUUCCAGGAAAAGCCUCUAAGCAUCAGGUAACAUCAAAUCGUACCCCAAACCGACACAGGUGGUCAGGUAGAGAAUACCAAGGCGCUUGAGAGAACUCGGGUGAAGGAACUAGGCAAAAUGGUGCCGUAACUUCGGGAGAAGGCACGCUGAUAUGUAGGUGAAGUCCCUCGCGGAUGGAGCUGAAAUCAGUCGAAGAUACCAGCUGGCUGCAACUGUUUAUUAAAAACACAGCACUGUGCAAACACGAAAGUGGACGUAUACGGUGUGACGCCUGCCCGGUGCCGGAAGGUUAAUUGAUGGGGUUAGCGGUAACGCGAAGCUCUUGAUCGAAGCCCCGGUAAACGGCGGCCGUAACUAUAACGGUCCUAAGGUAGCGAAAUUCCUUGUCGGGUAAGUUCCGACCUGCACGAAUGGCGUAAUGAUGGCCAGGCUGUCUCCACCCGAGACUCAGUGAAAUUGAACUCGCUGUGAAGAUGCAGUGUACCCGCGGCAAGACGGAAAGACCCCGUGAACCUUUACUAUAGCUUGACACUGAACAUUGAGCCUUGAUGUGUAGGAUAGGUGGGAGGCUUUGAAGUGUGGACGCCAGUCUGCAUGGAGCCGGCCUUGAAAUACCACCCUUUAAUGUUUGAUGUUCUAACGUUGGCCCCUGAUCGGGGUUGCGGACAGUGUCUGGUGGGUAGUUUGACUGGGGCGGUCUCCUCCUAAAGAGUAACGGAGGAGCACGAAGGUUGGCUAAUCCUGGUCGGACAUCAGGAGGUUAGUGCAAUGGCAUAAGCCAGCUUGACUGCGAGCGUGACGGCGCGAGCAGGUGCGAAAGCAGGUCAUAGUGAUCCGGUGGUUCUGAAUGGAAGGGCCAUCGCUCAACGGAUAAAAGGUACUCCGGGGAUAACAGGCUGAUACCGCCCAAGAGUUCAUAUCGACGGCGGUGUUUGGCACCUCGAUGUCGGCUCAUCACAUCCUGGGGCUGAAGUAGGUCCCAAGGGUAUGGCUGUUCGCCAUUUAAAGUGGUACGCGAGCUGGGUUUAGAACGUCGUGAGACAGUUCGGUCCCUAUCUGCCGUGGGCGCUGGAGAACUGAGGGGGGCUGCUCCUAGUACGAGAGGACCGGAGUGGACGCAUCACUGGUGUUCGGGUUGUCAUGCCAAUGGCACUGCCCGGUAGCUAAAUGCGGAAGAGAUAAGUGCUGAAAGCAUCUAAGCACGAAACUUGCCCCGAGAUGAGUUCUCCCUGACUCUUUAAGGGUCCUGAAGGAACGUUGAAGACGACGACGUUGAUAGGCCGGGUGUGUAAGCGCAGCGAUGCGUUGAGCUAACCGGUACUAAUGAACCGUGAGGCUUAACCUUACAACGCCGAAG
This 2926-nucleotide ribosomal RNA is filed under the name Escherichia coli. RNAcentral describes it as "partial 23S ribosomal RNA". It matches the Rfam family "Bacterial large subunit ribosomal RNA". Lineage: Bacteria; Pseudomonadati; Pseudomonadota; Gammaproteobacteria; Enterobacterales; Enterobacteriaceae. The record is from RNAcentral.